GCUAAUACCGCAUAUUCUGUGAGCAGGAAAGCAGGGGAUCGCAAGACCUUGCGCUGAUUGAGCGGCCGAUAUCAGAUUAGCUUGUUGGUGAGGUAAAAGCUCACCAAGGCGACGAUCUGUAGCGGGUCUGAGAGGAUGAUCCGCCACACUGGAACUGAGACACGGUCCAGACUCCUACGGGAGGCAGCAGUGGGGAAUUUUGGACAAUGGGGGCAACCCUGAUCCAGCCAUGCUGCGUGAGUGAAGAAGGCCUUCGGGUUGUAAAGCUCUUUCAGCCGGGAAGAAAACGCAUGGGUUAAUACCCUGUGUGGAUGACGGUACCGGAAUAAGAAGCACCGGCUAACUACGUGCCAGCAGCCGCGGUAAUACGUAGGGUGCGAGCGUUAAUCGGAAUUACUGGGCGUAAAGCGUGCGCAGGCGGUUUUGUAAGACAGGCGUGAAAUCCCCGGGCUUAACCUGGGAACUGCGUUUGUGACUGCAAGGCUAGAGUACGGCAGAGGGGGGUGGAAUUCCACGUGUAGCAGUGAAAUGCGUAGAGAUGUGGAGGAACACCAAUGGCGAAGGCAGCCCCCUGGGUCGAUACUGACGCUCAUGCACGAAAGCGUGGGUAGCAAACAGGAUUAGAUACCCUGGUAGUCCACGCCCUAAACGAUGUCAACUAGGUGUUGGGAGGGUAAAACCUUUUAGUACCGGAGCUAACGCGUGAAGUUGACCGCCUGGGGAGUACGGCCGCAAGGUUAAAACUCAAAGGAAUUGACGGGGACCCGCACAAGCGGUGGAUGAUGUGGAUUAAUUCGAUGCAACGCGAAAAACCUUACCUACCCUUGACAUGCCAAGAACUUUCCAGAGAUGGAUUGGUGCCCGAAAGGGAACUUGGACACAGGUGCUGCAUGGCUGUCGUCAGCUCGUGUCGUGAGAUGUUGGGUUAAGUCCCGCAACGAGCGCAACCCUUGUCGUUAAUUGCCAUCAUUUAGUUGGGCACUUUAACGAGACUGCCGGUGACAAACCGGAGGAAGGUGGGGAUGACGUCAAGUCCUCAUGGCCCUUAUGGGUAGGGCUUCACACGUCAUACAAUGGUCGGUACAAAGGGUCGCCAAGCCGCGAGGUGGAGCCAAUCCCAGAAAGCCGAUCGUAGUCCGGAUCGCAGUCUGCAACUCGACUGCGUGAAGUCGGAAUCGCUAGUAAUCGUGGAUCAGAAUGUCACGGUGAAUACGUUCCCGGGUCUUGUACACACCGCCCGUCACACCAUGGGAGCGGGUUCCGCCAGAAGUAGGUAGCCUAACCGCAAGGAGGGCGCUUACCACGGCGGGGUUCGUGACUGGGGUGAAGUCGUAACAAGGUA
RNAcentral lists this ribosomal RNA (1342 nucleotides) under metagenome. RNAcentral's name for it is "bacterial SSU rRNA". It matches the Rfam family "Bacterial small subunit ribosomal RNA", at positions 162 to 1498 of the family's 1533-position model. The record is from RNAcentral.